RNAcentral lists this ribosomal RNA (834 nucleotides) under Annulohypoxylon moriforme. RNAcentral describes it as "eukaryotic LSU rRNA". It matches the Rfam family "Eukaryotic large subunit ribosomal RNA", at positions 77 to 938 of the family's 3401-position model. The record is from RNAcentral. Lineage: Eukaryota; Fungi; Ascomycota; Sordariomycetes; Xylariales; Hypoxylaceae.
GCCCUAGUAACGGCGAGUGAAGCGGCAACAGCUCAAAUUUGAAAUCUGGCCCUAGCGGUCCGAGUUGUAAUUUGCAGAGGAUGCUUUUGGUGCGGUGCCUUCCGAGUUCCCUGGAACGGGACGCCAGAGAGGGUGAGAGCCCCGUACGGUUGGACACCUACCCUAUAUAUAGCUCCUUCGACGAGUCGAGUAGUUUGGGAAUGCUGCUCUAAAUGGGAGGUAAAUUUCUUCUAAAGCUAAAUACCGGCCAGAGACCGAUAGCGCACAAGUAGAGUGAUCGAAAGAUGAAAAGCACUUUGAAAAGAGGGUUAAAUAGCACGUGAAAUUGUUGAAAGGGAAGCGUUUGCGACCAGACCUUUUCCAGGCGGAUCAUCCGGUGUUCUCACCGGUGCACUUCGCCUGGUUUAGGCCAGCAUCGGUUUUCUUAGGGGGAUAAAGGCCUGGGGAACGUAGCUCUUUAGGGAGUGUUAUAGCCCCUCGCGUAAUACCCCUCGGGGGACCGAGGACCGCGCUCUGCAAGGAUGCUGGCGUAAUGGUCGUCAACGACCCGUCUUGAAACACGGACCAAGGAGUCGAACAUUUGUGCGAGUGUUUGGGUGUUAAACCCUCACGCGUAAUGAAAGUGAACGGAGGUGAGAGCCCUCACGGGUGCAUCAUCGACCGAUCCUGAUGUCUUCGGAUGGAUUUGAGUAAGAGCAUAACUGUUCGGACCCGAAAGAUGGUGAACUAUGCGUGGAUAGGGUGAAGCCAGAGGAAACUCUGGUGGAGGCUCGCAGCGGUUCUGACGUGCAAAUCGAUCGUCAAAUCUGCGCAUGGGGGCGAAAGACUUAUCGA